CUUUUCUGAAGGACAUGGCCAAUAGGAGCUGGAGCGAGGGAGAAGCUUCUUCCCUCAACUCUGGUUGGAGGCAAAGUUCUGUGGGACCCAACUGGACCUAGAGAUUUUCAUUAUACUAUUUCCGGCCAGCAUAUUUAUCAAGCUAGAGAAGAGUGGAUUGGAAGAGGAUAUCAGAAGUUGUGUCUUGGUUGUGGC
Long non-coding RNA from Hemicordylus capensis (graceful crag lizard), 195 nucleotides. RefSeq lists it as uncharacterized. Lineage: Eukaryota; Metazoa; Chordata; Lepidosauria; Squamata; Cordylidae. The transcript has 3 exons. The record is from RefSeq and is a predicted model, not a curated record.